Molecule: ribosomal RNA, 497 nt
Filed under: uncultured bacterium
Lineage: Bacteria
Description: partial 16S ribosomal RNA
Rfam family: Bacterial small subunit ribosomal RNA
Source: RNAcentral
GAUGAACGCUGGCGGCGGGCCUAAUACAUGCAAGUCGAGCGAACAGAUCAGGAGCUUGCUCCUUUGACGGUAUCGACGGACGGGUGAGUAACACGUGGAUAACCAACCUAUAAGACUGUGAUAACUUAGGGAAACCGGAGCUAAUACAGGAUAACAUAUUGCACCGCCUGGUUCAAAAGGGAAAGGAGACUUUGCUGUCACUUAUAGAGGGAUCUGCGCCGUAUUAGGUAGUUGGUAAGGUAAGGGCUUACCAAGGCAACGAUAAGUAGGCGACGUGAGAGGGUGAUCGGGCACCCUGGAACUGAGACACGGACCAGACUCCUACGGGAGGGAGCAGUAGGGGAUCUUCCGCAAUGGGCGAAAGCCUGACGGAGAAACGCCGCGUGAGCGAUGAAGGUCUUCGGAUCGUAAAACUCUGUUAGCAGGGAAGAACAAAUGUGGAAGUAACUGUGCACAUCUUGACGGUAACUGAUCAGAAAGCCACGGCUAACUACGUG